Bubalus bubalis (water buffalo) is the source of this 4230-nucleotide long non-coding RNA. RefSeq lists it as uncharacterized. Lineage: Eukaryota; Metazoa; Chordata; Mammalia; Artiodactyla; Bovidae. The record is from RefSeq and is a predicted model, not a curated record. The transcript has 2 exons.
UCUCCAAUCCAGGUUCUGACUCUGAUGUACAGCGGGGAAGCCGCUUUGCACUGCAGACCCGAAGUUCUGGAAUAACCAUGAUGUCACCUUUUUCUACUGAUCUGCUACCACUGCACAGAGGCGCACUAUUAGCCCUGUGAUGUCUUAGCUUAAUUCUCCCCUAUGUGGGUUGCAAUUGCAGCCAAAACAAAGUCGGCAGUGGAUUUUACAGCCACUGAAUUGCUCAAGGUGCUGCGGGGUUCAAUGAGAUUGGGGAGAUCAGGUCAGGAGACAUUAGGAACAAAAAGACAAAAAGCAAGAAAGGCACUAGGACAGUGGGAUUUCCGGUUGCCUGGUCUAGGAUUUCCGAAUCAAGCCUUUGGUCUUCCAAUCAGUGAUUUGAUGCUCUGGGUUUUCACCUUUGAGGUAUUCAGUGCUUCUCUGGCAGACAUGAUGAGGCAAAGCACCCUGUUCUGAGUGGUGAGUCAUGGAUGGAAUCCCUCGCACUAAAUUAGAAAGGAGACAUUUUAGGAUAUGAGUUCAUGAAAGACAAGAGUUUUGAAAUGGAAAAAAAAAAAAAAGUACACACACACAGUAACACAUAACUAGGCCAGCACAGGAUGCAUUUGCGGUUAAGCCAUUUUCCCAUUGCAGAUGACACUUUAACGCUUUGAUUCCCAGAGUCCUCCUGCUCACACCCAGUGGGAAAAGAUACCUUUUAGGCAUGCAGCUGCCCUAAAACCAGACUGCACCAGAGGUAGAAGGAGGAAGUUCUGGCCACCCGCGAUUUCAAACCCUUCCAUCUGAGAUCAGUCUGUGACUCCUCUUCUCCCCUCCAGCAAUGUCAUGACAUAAAGGCAUAACCCUCGCUCCCAGAAGAUCUUUGGAAUCAAACCAAUGUUGGAAUCAAGCAAUGACACCAUGAAAGGCACGGUUCCUGUAUUUUGGAUGGCAUCAGCCCUGGCUGCCCAGCUUUGCUCAGCUUGCCUCUCUAGGGGUUCCAUUUUCACUUUCCUCCGUCCACUCAAAGUGAGUGGUCUUAUUCUAAGAUCUUUCAACUGGGCUCGUCCUCAAAAUAAGCUGAAGACAAAAAACGACACCAGCAUUCCCAGCCAAAGCCCUAAAAGUGGCCGAUUUAUACAUAGUGUUCUUUUUUAAAAAGAGCGGGGGUGCAGCGUGGAAAGCCUAAAAACUUUAAACAUCCUGGAAAGAAAACCAAAAAAAAAAGAAAAGAAAAAAAGCCGAUUCUCCUGAUUAAUAUCAGGAUGAUCCAGCAGGGUUUAUACAUAUUCCUUCUGUUUGAAUCAUCUUGUUUUUUGUAGCUGUUUUACACCUCCAGAAUCCUGCCAUCUGCCCACUCUAAAGAAACGCAGCAGUUCGGUCCAAAAACAAUGGCUGGAAGACAAUCAUUUUGAACAAAUUCAAGAGGUGGACUUUUCUGCACCCUCCUGGUUAGUGCUAUGCUCCCUGGAGGAGAGACAGUGUGGGAUGACCCUGAGGCUCAGGCUUUGAGGGGGCUCUCCUAAAUAAACCCCACCCCCAACCCCGGGGCCCUGUCAUGCCAUCGGGUUGACAAGAGAGGACUUCGUGUACAGAUCUGGUCGCCUUCAGGGCUGAGGAAGGAGGAGGAGGAGAGGUGGGCGGCUCCCCAGGCAGUUCUGUCCUACUCUAAUCUGCCAAGUGUCACGGGAAUGUAGGUCGGCCUUCGCUGGACAACUUGGAGGAGGCUGGAAGCAUGUGGACCCCAGACGGGGUCCCCCUCGCUCUCUUCCUGCCCAAGACGGGAGUUAAGAGGCCCAAAGAACGCAGAGAGGCCAUCAAGACAGGCGAAAGCGGUCGUUCCUUUCGCUCGCAAAAGCCUGGGAAAUCUAAAGCUUAGCAGAGGCUUUAUCAGUCCUGGGGCUGAGCCAAGGAGCAGGCUGAAGUUCAGCUGGCCGGGCCCAAUGCAGCUGCUGGCUCUGCGCGCUUCCCACAGCGACUUUUCCUCAGCCCUCUGAUUUAGACAGCGAACGGUCGGAUGAUGUGCAUGUAGCUGUCGAGGGUGAUUGGAGAAACAAAAUGACUGGCAAUUACCGGGCAGUUCAGGUGGAGGUAUGGAGUGCAGAAAAGGUUUUCUUUCCAGCAGUAAAAUGAGGUGUCAGUUUAAGGGCGGCUGGCCUUGUGGAAAGGCUGUAACUUUAAAGGGAUACUGGCCAAGGCUUUCCACUGAACGUUCAGGCUUGGUCACUUGCCUUUCCCCCACAGUUCAAAGAGGGAUAGAGAUAUUCCAUGAAUUGAAUUUUCUUGUGAAUUAAAACAUCGAUGUCCUGAUUUGGGGUAACGAGCAUUGCCAAGCUAGUGCUGAGCAGGCAGAAAGGAGGGAUGGGACGAAUGCUUUGCCUUCGGGGCAAGGCAGAAAAAUUGUUCACAAAAGAGCAUCAUUCCAUUGAUUGUUCAAGGUCACCAGACUGUGCAUGCUCAAAAUGGGACUCAAGACUCCCAAAUCCCAGUGUCUGAUUAAUUGUCCUUUGACUAAAACAAUGAAAGUAAAAUGGAUUAACAAAAACGAUUGCUCCAGGCCAAAAAGUUCAGAAAGCAAACAGAGCCUCAAGCAAAGUAGGAUUUUCUUUAAUUAGGUUGAAUGCCUUGGUAAUAAUGCUGUAAAUAUGAAAUUGUCAUGUGAACAGUAAGUAUCCUGGUGAUUCUGUUUUAUCAUGCCAGUUUAAAAAUGGUGAGUGUUGAUGUGCUGUGGAGCUGGCACUGAGGAAGGCAUUUUCCUUGUGCUAUGUGAUUUAACCCUCACCAGUACCUGGUAAGUAUGAUGGCCACUAUAUUACUGAUGGGGCUAACGCUGAUUAAAGUUUUUGACUUGAUGUGUAAGUGUCUAGGAUUCAAUUUUAGGUUUCCGACUUCCAUGUUUCACAACCACGUGUCUUUUGUGUAUUCAUGUCUAGGUUGAUUGUUGUAAAGUGUAAAUUUCUAGAUGAGAAAAACUAUGAGCUAAAACAGAGUUAAGUGUUGUUGCUCAGAAGUGUCUGACUCUUUGUGACCCCCCAUGGACUGUAUCCCACUAGGCUUCUCUGUCCAUGAGAUUCUUCAGGCAAGAAUACUGGAGUGGGUUGCCAUGUUCUUUUCCAGAGAAUCUUCCUGACCCAGGGACCAAACCCGGGUUCCCUGCAUUGCAGGCAAAUUCUUUACCAUCUGAGCUACCAUGGGAGAUAAAACAGAGCUUUCUUUAAAUUACCUACUUGCAAUAGUUUGCCUACAUCUGAAAGUAGUGGGGCUGGUCAUGAAAUGCUAGCAUUCUUUUUCAUGAAUAGUAUGCAGGUUUAUAAAUAAACUCUGUGAGGAAGACAAUAUGUACCCUUGAUAUUUGAAGUGCAUGGAGAUGUCCAGACAUAAAAUAGUUUGGCUCUUAUAAGAGGAAAAUAGUGGUUUGAAAAGUUGGAAAGUUAAAGAUAUUAGCACACAGGGUGUUCAGUGCUGAGUGCAUGUUGACAAAGCAGGAAGAGUGAAGCUAAUUCAGUUAGUUUCUUCUUUGAAGGGUGUGGCUGCUGACCUUUCUUAAAAUAGAGGGAAAAGACAUAGCAUCCUAUUUUCUCAAUUUUUUUAUCUUUCAUUUUGAUGAAGGAAAAGACAUGGGGGUAUUAAAAUAACAGUGCUAGUUAAUAAUCAAGAUGACAAAUGGGCUGCACCUGCCCGCAGGGUAUCUUGUGGUCCAGAAGUAGAGGCAGACACACAAACAAAACAGGAUGGUAGUUGAAAAACAUGAACAUGUGUCAGGCACAAAAAAGAGAGGUAUGUAAUUACCUAAAGAGAGGACGAAUGGGUCAGGAAAAGCUUCACAAGGAGGAAAACUUGAGCUGGAAUUUAAAGAUUUUGACUAAGUGGAUAAUGGAAGAAAAAAGCAAAGUCUGUACAAAGGCACAGAGCAUGAAAUGAGCUGACAUUUUGGGGCCCAGAAGGAAUCUGAUAUUGCUAGAGGGGAGAGCAGACGGGCUAAGCGUGGAGAGAUGAACUGCUGAAGUAGUUGGGAGGCCGGGCCUUGGAUGUGGUGUGGUGAGCCACUGAUGGGUUUUCGAAAGUGGACUUGAGUUUCCAAAAAAUCACUCUUGUGGUACUGUCAAGAAUGAAUGGUCGGUCACCUGAUCAACAGAAUGAAAAGCCGGUUGUUCCAAAAAAGUAAUUAAAUAGACAAACUCCUGCAUGACUGAUUUUUUUUUUAAGAGGCAGAAAUAAACAGUGCUAGAUAUGAAAAGGGACACUGAAGCA